GAUCCUGGCUCAGGAUGAACGCUAGCUACAGGCUUAACACAUGCAAGUCGAGGGGCAUCAGUUUUGGUUUGCUUGCAAACCAAAGCUGGCGACCGGCGCACGGGUGAGUAACACGUAUCCAACCUGCCUCAUACUCGGGGAUAGCCUUUCGAAAGAAAGAUUAAUAUCCGAUAGCAUAUAUUUCCCGCAUGGGUUUUAUAUUAAAGAAAUUCGGUAUGAGAUGGGGAUGCGUUCCAUUAGUUUGG
This 245-nucleotide ribosomal RNA is filed under the name uncultured bacterium. RNAcentral's name for it is "partial 16S ribosomal RNA". It matches the Rfam family "Bacterial small subunit ribosomal RNA", at positions 15 to 249 of the family's 1533-position model. The record is from RNAcentral.